This 222-nucleotide long non-coding RNA is filed under the name Capsicum annuum. RNAcentral's name for it is "long non-coding RNA (CANN_LNC017204)". Lineage: Eukaryota; Viridiplantae; Streptophyta; Magnoliopsida; Solanales; Solanaceae. The record is from RNAcentral.
CCAAAGCAUUCUCAAGAACUCGCCAGGGCUACAAACUGUACUAGAGAUAAUCAAAACUCUAGAAACUUGGAGAAAUGCAACUCUAGUUGGAAACUAAUCAAUCCAAUACUCCAACUCGACAACAAAUACCUAAUUCACCAAUUUAGGAAAUAGUCACAAGAAAGAUCACCUAUCUCCAACUCUCGAACUCUACUUCGAUAAUAACCAUAUCAUAGUAAGAAC